This is a long non-coding RNA of Sciurus carolinensis (gray squirrel), 4054 nucleotides long. RefSeq lists it as uncharacterized. The transcript has 3 exons. NCBI's taxonomy places the organism in Eukaryota, Metazoa, Chordata, Mammalia, Rodentia, Sciuridae. The record is from RefSeq and is a predicted model, not a curated record.
GCACGGCCGCCAUGAUGGUUGUGGGAAGGCGGGUCUAGGCUGUCCUCUCGCCUUCCACUGCCGGUUGGGAGGACCGAGCUGGAGAGGAUGAGUGGCAACUCUAGGUCUUUCCUGGGGCCAGGACGUUGAAAGUUUAUGCUUGCUCCCCUACGACUCAGUUCAGGGAACUGGAAAAUGUUACUCUUUCCUUCUCGCUUCAGAACUUGGCCCUUUCCCGCGACGCAGAGGGCCAGUCAGAGAAGGAACUCUUCUUCGCAAUUCGAGGAAGCCCGACAUUGUGCAACAACUCUUUUAGAGAAUAGGGAAUGAAUAUGUUUUCCGUGUGAACUGCGAAGCCUAAUGGAGCGUGAGGUCUGCAGUCCAGCGUGUGUUUGGAUCUCACUUCCUCCACUGCACACUGCUUACUAGUGGAUUUAUGGGAUAAGUAAGAAUCCUGUUGCAGUCCUCAAAAGAUCCUGUGCAUAUGAAUCACCUUGGGAUCUUGUUAUGUAAACCACCACAAUCUCAGUGACACAGCCACACAGAUUUGUUGCUUCCACUUCCAAGAGAAAGAGUUCAUGCUCUCUCAAGGCUACCACCACAGUCUCAUCUGGAGACUUGACUGGGGAAGAAUCUAAUUCCAAACUUAUACUGGCUCCUUCACUUCCUUGUUGCAAUGUGACUAAGAGCUCUGGCUUCUUACUGACAAUCAGCUGGAAGUGCCCAUCAGGUCCUGAAGGCCACAGUUCCUCAACACAUGACCUUAUCAAAGGCCCUCUUGCAACAUGGCAGCUUACUUCUUCAAAGCCAGCAAGCAGAAUCCAGUGAACACAAGAAAGAUGGAGUCAUACCGACAUAGAUAUAGAUAGUAAUAUAGAUAAACAUACAUAUAGAUAGUAACCUAAGUAAGGGAGUAGCAGCCCAGUACCUCGGGCAUAUUCUAUGGUAAGCAAGCAAUAGGCUUUACCUGCACUCCAGAAGAGGGGGUCAUACAAAGAUGUGACUUGUUGGGGGUCAGGGGUGUGUCACCUUAGGGUAUGUCUGCCACAAAUAUUAAUUUGGCAGCAAUGUACCAUGUAAGUUAGGUGGGAAAUACAGGGAAGGUAAGGAGAAAAGGGAGAUAUUAUUGUUGUCAUUUUAACCAAAACUGUAUAGUUGUCACCACAAAAGAAUAAAUCGAACCCAUAAGGUAAGGGAUAGGUCUUUGAUCAUACUAUAGGCAUUAAAUAAAAUGCAGUUACCACUUUGUCUUUAGAAUUUAGUAGCAAAUCACCCUGCAACAUGCCAACCCUUUCUGGAUUUCUUAAGUUCCGUGAGUUCUCCGAAAGCCAGAGGCUUGUUCCUCCACUUAUAGAUUUCAAAAGCGGGAGAGGAAACACAUGGCUCAGCAAUGUGACAAUGAUCUCAUUGUCGCUGUCAUUUUCUGAUUAUUUCACAUGUGCUGUUCUUUUUCUUCCUCAUCUAGAUUGUAAUUGGUUUGGUAUGCCCCAAAGUGCCUAACACUUUGCUAAUAAUAUCCUUUUCUUAGGUUAUCCAUUCCCCUAAAAGUCACAUCAUUUAGAGGCUUCAUGUUGACACUGAGUCCUCACACUUUAUUAUGUUGCAGUAAAGAAGCUUAACAAGUGUUCUUUGUGUGAUUUUUGUGUAAUUUAAACCCCCUUGUGUAAUUAAGAGCUUCCCUUUGAGCUUUCUCACAUGACAUGAAAAUCCACUGUAAGAUUUCUCCCUAUCUCAUGACUUCCACUGAAUCAAACCAUUUCUUUCCAAUUAGUAGUUUUUCUUUUUCUAGAAAUAUCCUUAGUUGCUCCAUAUUCAGGUCUUCUAUGAAGGAGGGAAGAUUGGGAGUGGAUUACCUCAACGAGAUUCCAGGAUCCACGAGGGGAAAUUAGGAUAAUAAAGGAGAUGAUGAAUGCCCAUCACCAGUGCAGCAAUAGGAGCUCAAGAUCAUCCUACUCACCCUGUUCUUCAAGGUUUCCCUUCAGGAAGAGAGGAGCUACAGAACCUGGAAGAGAUGCAUCCCAAAUCUAUGUGGAGAAGGGAAUCCAUGCAGUACAAACAGAGGAUCGUAGAAGACACAAAGAUGCACUGUCCAGAUUCCCCUUCAAGGAAAAGCGACUCUCAUCUGACAAGAGAGUGGCUUUGGUCACUGUUCUUUCUUUGGCAUUGCCUCAGUUUCCCAGUUGAGGUCACAUUAUUUUGAGGGGCAGGCUAAUGAGUAAAUGAGCAAGGAGAAGGUAGCCAGAGGCAGGCUCUUCCUGGGGAAAAGGAUUAAGGCUUAUUGGCUCUUUCUGCCCCAAAAGGGAGUCUUUUUACAGACCAUCUGCCCUGGAGCGCCCUCUUGGGUUAGUGAAAUCUGCUAUAGCCUCUCUGAUCAAUCCUGCCUUUUCCUCUUUCCUCACACAGUUGUUUUUGCCCAAUAAACUUUUUGGACUCACCGCUGCACCUGUGAGUCAACUUCCCAACUUGCUCCAUGGAACAAUCUUAACAAUUGAUAAAUCUGCAGUCUUCGUUGUACUUCCUUUUGCAGUUUUUCUUUCAGUUUCAAUUUUUUCACCCAAAAAAUUGGGCAAAAGUAAAGACCAAACAAAAUUUUAAUGAAAAGAGAGAUUUAAGAGACAUAAGGAAAAAAAAAAAACUGGAGAUACUUUAUUUUGAUAUUGAUUAAAAUAAGUUACAAAGUAAAUCAGGAGAAAGAUGGGAAAUUCUAACACUAAUGAUAAAAAGAAGUUUUGUAAACAUAUUAGGUAUGAUAUUAGUAUUUUGAAUAUGAUUUUUUAAAAAGGAUUCCUUCUACACAUGCUGCUUGAAAUGCUUGUGGAUGAAAUUGUACGAUGGUUGGUAUUUAUGCCACAGGAAUCUGAGGUAAGGGGGAUACUGGCAAUAGCACCUUAACUUUACUUCAUCUUCAUAAAAUUUGUAUUUUGUUUUGCUUGUGCUAAGUGUAAUUCAUGAAGGUGGAAUGUGUUACUUAUUCAACACCCACUGUUUAGGCAUUAUGAAAAUCUGGGCAUGCAAGAAAUUUUAAAAAUCUGGUUCUUGUGGUCAACUUAUUCACAGUUGGUACAGACAUAUAUACAACCACCAUUGUGAAAACUGAUUAUCUUGGAACUUUCUACUAGUUGGGGGUCUAAUCCCCCUAAUUCCAGUAUUAAUAUUCCGAAUUUGGGUAGGAAGUAUUAUUUUUAACAUUGUAUAAAUAAUCACCUCUUAUUGUAGAAAGCCAUUAAGAUAAAUUUUACUUUUAUUCAGUUUCUUCAGAACUUAGCCCUUAGGUGUAUUCAGACACAUGAUACUAAAAAAUGGAAUGAAUGACGAGUGUGUUUGUGUGUGUGCAUGCCCACAUUUUCACUCCAGGGAAAGCCUGGGAGAGGGCUUUGAACACAGCAAAAGUCUUUAUUAGGAGUUUAAUCAUUUUCUCUGGAUCAGUCUUUUCUAGCUAGACACUAACUACACCACUACCACAAGCAAAAAAAUGUUCUUGGACAAGUGAAACAUAGAUUGUUAGUUAUGUGUAGAUUUUUCUUCUAAAGAAUUAAUUUUAACAAUGGAAUGAUUUUUUGUACCUCCAUUCAUAUGUUGAAACCCUAAUCCUCAAUAUGAUGGCAUUUGGAGAUGACACCUUUGGUAGGUGAUGAGGUUAUGAGAGAAGAACCUUUGUCAUGGAUUUAGAAAAGACAGGAGACCAUAGAAAUGAAAAGUUGCACCCCAUUUUGUACAACCAAUCAAAAUGCAGUCUGUAAAAAUAAAAAAAAUUUUUAAAAAGGAGAAAGACACAAAAGAGUUUGCCUCCUCUCUUUCUCCCCAUCAUGGGAGGAUACAAGAAGAUAACCAUCUGCAAACCAGCAAGAGUCUUCACCAAAUACUGGAUCUGCUAGCUUCCAGAACUACAAGAAAUAAAUGUGUGGUUUUUAAGCACCAGGUCUAAGAUAUUCUAUUAUCAGUCAGACUAAGGAGGGCAAAUCCACAACAAACUCUUUUAAAAAACUCAAAGAAACCAGGUGCAGUUAUGCAUGCAUUUAACUUGUGAGGCAGAGGCAAGAGGAUUGCAAGUUGGAGGCUAGAUUCAGCAACUUAG